GUGCAGUAACGGCACUUACUAGUUACUUAACUUUGAGAACAAACACAACGGGUCCACUAUUCCUCAACUCCAGUGGAGAAGCUGUUUCUAGACAAUUAUUCCAACAUGCUCUGAAUGGUGCUUUGAACUUUUGUGGGCUCAGCAGAGCAUAUUACAAACCUCAUAGUUUCAGGAUAGGCUUUGCUACCGACGCAAGUGCAAAAGGAUUGUCCACAGAAACCAUAAGAAAUUUAGGUAGAUGGAAAUCCGAUGCAUUCAAAUUAUAUAUUAGACAAUCAGGUCAAAUUUCUAACCUUUAGUCAUGUUUAUCUGUCUCACAACUGAUCAUGUAAUGACGUAAUUUGUGAAUGAAUUACUGCCGUUUAUUAUUUUAUAUUUUGUACAGGGCUUGUGGGUCACAGCUCAUUACAUAUCACAAACAGAAUAACAGUUCAUAUAAUAUGGAAACGGUGGACAAUUGGGAAAGGUGAAUUAUGACGCUUAUUUAAGCUGAUACAAGGACAACCUAAAACCAGGAAUUCAUCCGUUUACCAUUGAAAUGACCAAAUUUUACUGAGAAGUAAUUGACAGAAAACAGCUUGCCAGGACUGGAAUCUUAAAAUCUCCCAUUUACAUGUAGUAAUAUUUAUCAGUAAACUUAUAACAAUAUUUAAGGAAAUACAGUUAUCUGAAAGGGAAAAUAGGUAUUAAUACAAUUAUUGAAUGCAUGUUUUUGCUGUAACAAACUUGGUCUGUUAUUGCAUCAAGUAAAAAUAUUUGUUUGACACAAUGUCUGUAAAUUGUGUCUUCUUAGUAUAUUUUGGUUUGUAUCAAGUAGAUACAUGGUUAGGACACAAUGUCUGUAAAUUGUGUCUUUUUAGUAUAUUUUGGUUUGUAUCAAGUAGAUACAUUGAUAGGACACAAUGUCUGUAAAUUGUGUCUUUUUAUUAUAUUUUAGUUUGUAUCAAGUAGAUACAUUGAUAGGACACAAUGUCUGUAAAUUGUGUCUUCUUAGUAUAUUUUGGUUUGUAUCAAGUAGAUACAUUGAUAGGACACAAUGUCUGUAAAUUGUGUCUUUUUAGUAUAUUUUGUUUGUAUCAAGUAGAUACAUUGAUAGGACACAAUGUCUGUAAAUUGUGUCUUUUUAGUAUAUUUUAGUUUGUAUCAAGUAGAUACAUUGAUAGGACACAAUGUCUGUAAAUUGUGUCUUUUUAGUAUAUUUGGUUGGUAUCAAGUAGACACAUGGUUAGGACACAAUGUCUGUAAAUUGUGUCUCUUUAGUUUAUGAUUGGUUGUAUAAAGUAGAUACGUAGGUAGGACACAAUGUCUGUAAAUUGUGUCUUUUAGGAUAAAGGACAUUCGUGGGACUCAAUGUCUGUAUAUUGUGUAUUUUUAGUAUAUACAUUUGUUGCAUAAUUUUUUACUUGUUUAUAAACAGUACAUAGAAUCGUAAGUUUUAUCAUUUGCAUAAGUAGGAUGAUGGGUGAUGCAGGUUUACUUUAGGGCAGCGUUUUCAGCUCCAUAAGAGCUUCAUACGUCAUGGCGGUAUCUGCUCCCAAAAGUUGAGAUGUUACACUAUUAUUAACAAAUUUAUAGUCAAGGGGAGAUAACUCUAAAUUGAUUGACUUUUCAAAAAUUUCAAUUUUAAUAAUUGAUGACAUUUGUCUUUUCACUUAUUACAUAAUAUGCUUAUUGGUUCAGAUUGUAAUGAAAGUAUUGUAUAUUUAAAUUCACAAUUGGUACUUAUAAUUGUAGUGUAUGCAAAUUUUAUACAUGUAUCUUUUGAUAUGAUUGAUUUUGAAACAUAAACUGUCACAUCUGUGGCCUGCAUCAUCAUAACAUGUGUUAGUUUUUAUUUUGACUUUAGCGGACCAUAAAUACACUUAUGUGCAGCAUAAGUGACUUUAUGGUACAAUGAAAGAUUGUAACUUUUAAUUGUAUUAAGUCUUUUGAUAUCAUGUUUUGUAAAUGUUAGAAAUAUUAGAAAUAUGUAGAAAAUAGUUUUGUACAGUACAUAGGUGUUUAUCUGACUUGAAACUCUUAGGAAUUUUGUAAUUGAUAUGGGGGCGCUACUUCAAGCACAUGUUUUAAUAUGCAGCCUCUUUUUCAAAUAGCUGCUGAAGGAAGAACACGUACAGAAAUUUGGUGACACUCAAUUUCAUAAAAUAUUUUAAUCCCCUCCUCCUUCCCCUACUUCCACCUUGAAAAGAGUUUCUUUCAUUGUUAAAAGGUGACGAAAAGAGGCGGUAUCUGCUCCCAAAAGUUGAGAUGUUACACUAUUAUUAACAAAUUUAUAGUCAAGGGGAGAUAACUCUAAAUUGAUUGACUUUUCAAAAAUUUCAAUUUUAAUAAUUGAUGACAUUUGUCUUUUCACUUAUUACAUAAUAUGCUUAUUGGUUCAGAUUGUAAUGAAAGUAUUGUAUAUUUAAAUUCACAAUUGGUACUUAUAAUUGUAGUGUAUGCAAAUUUUAUACAUGUAUCUUUUGAUAUGAUUGAUUUUGAAACAUAAACUGUCACAUCUGUGGCCUGCAUCAUCAUAA
This is a long non-coding RNA of Mytilus californianus (California mussel), 2519 nucleotides long. RefSeq lists it as uncharacterized. Lineage: Eukaryota; Metazoa; Mollusca; Bivalvia; Mytilida; Mytilidae. The record is from RefSeq and is a predicted model, not a curated record. The transcript has 2 exons.